Molecule: non-coding RNA, 604 nt
Organism: Lactuca sativa (garden lettuce)
Lineage: Eukaryota; Viridiplantae; Streptophyta; Magnoliopsida; Asterales; Asteraceae
Source: RefSeq, a predicted model, not a curated record
UAAGGGGUUGUUUGAUAUAGUGGGUCAAAAGAGGGAUUGGAUCCAGAAAAAGCCAAUUAGCAUGUUUGAUAGGGAUUAGAGAGUAAAGGACUCGGUCCAAGAAUAUCAUCAAAUUUGGUCCUUGCUUUCCGAUCGAUGGACCGGGAACAAAAAAAGAAGAAAACCCAUUUUCCCCUAUUAUUUUCGCACGCCUUCAUUGAAAAGAUAGAGAAACCGAGACAGUUAUCGCCUAUCACUCCAGUCGAUUUCUCCCCCCCAUGAAGAAACCAGAGCAGCUACUUUCGACGACCAGGUGAGGGCUUUCUUCUUCAACCCUCGAUUUCAUUAUGCGUCCAUUCGAACGAUCUGUUCUAUUUUGUAUCAUGGAGAUAACCAUAUUGUUGAUAUUGAAUCCCAUAAGGUUGAAUUGGAAAUUAAUGCUCUAUUGAUGAAAUUAAGGCCAAUCAUGUAGGUUCGCUUUUUUCUUGGCUAUUCUAAUAUCACAGUUGACGAUAAAGACCCAUGUUUCACUCUUUUUGUAGGAGAUUUUGAUUUGUGAUGACAAAAAAACUCAUAUGUUGGUGUUCCUUCCUGAUUCAUUGGAAUAAAUUGUUGAUUCUAUGGA